This 499-nucleotide ribosomal RNA is filed under the name uncultured bacterium. Its description in RNAcentral is "partial 16S ribosomal RNA". It matches the Rfam family "Bacterial small subunit ribosomal RNA", at positions 28 to 507 of the family's 1533-position model. The record is from RNAcentral.
GACGAACGCUGGCGGCGUGCUUAACACAUGCAAGUCGAACGGGCCCGCUCUCUUUUUUGGGGGUGGGUUGAGUGGCGAACGGGUGAGUAUCACGUGAGUAACCUGCCCCCUGCUCCUGGAUAACUGCUUGAAAGGGCGGCUAAUACGGGGUGUGCCGGCUGGUCCGCAUGGGCCUGGUCGGGAUAGUUUCAUCUUCGGGUGUUUCGGUGGGGGAUGGGCUCGCGGCCUAUCAGCUUGUUGGCGGGGUGAUGGCCCACCAAGGCGGUGACGGGUAGCCGGCCUGAGAGGGUGGGCGGCCACACUGGGACUGAGACACGGCCCAGACUCCUGCGGGAGGCAGCAGUGGGGGGUAUUGCACAAUGGGCGGAAGCCUGAUGCAGCGACGUCGCGUGAGGGAUGGAGGCCUUCGGGUUGUGAACCUCUUUCUCCGGUGGUGAAGGCCCUGUCCGUUGCGGCGGGGUUGACGGUAGCCGGGUAUGAAGCGCCGGCUAACUACGUG